This is a long non-coding RNA of Dipodomys spectabilis (banner-tailed kangaroo rat), 630 nucleotides long. RefSeq lists it as uncharacterized. The transcript has 12 exons. The record is from RefSeq and is a predicted model, not a curated record. NCBI's taxonomy places the organism in Eukaryota, Metazoa, Chordata, Mammalia, Rodentia, Heteromyidae.
CGUUGGGAGCUCGCCGCUGCUGUGGAGAGAUGGUGCUCCAAGUGGAGGCAGCGUGGCUUUUGCUGACAUCUUACGGACAGUUACCUGUAAAAGGAGGCAGAGAAAUGAGGUAGUGAAGAGCAAGCCAGUCCAGCCAUGGGCACAGGUGCCAUUUGAGAUGUCUACUAGUUUCUACUACCUGCAUAAAUAUUGACUGCAUUUCUUGCUCUUGGGUCCUGCAUGGAGAGUCAGAAAUAAGGUUUAUGAAGCAUCUGCACUACAAUGGUCAGUGCACAACCGAGUUUUAAGUCAAGGACAUCGCACUUUUUGUGAAUGAACAUUGAAGCUGGGUGUGGUGGAUUGAGCCUGUACUCCUGUCCUAGAACGCAGUGAAAGAUCAUGAAAGUUUUUAAGUGCAGUGAGGACUACAAAACAAUCCAGCCUAAGACUUGCAGGUUGGCACUUUCAGAACAGAAAAGAUCAGCAAGAUUGAAGCUUACAUAUUUCAUAAGGACAAUUCAACUUGAAACAAUUGAACUUCAAACCAAGAAAUGUGGCUUAAAGUAUGUCUUCAUUUGCAGGUAGCUGGUGGUCUGCAUGUCCUGGAAUAGAAAAUCAAUUUUUAAAUAAAUUUCUUUUAACCACUUUGAA